Molecule: long non-coding RNA, 794 nt
Organism: Raphanus sativus (radish)
Lineage: Eukaryota; Viridiplantae; Streptophyta; Magnoliopsida; Brassicales; Brassicaceae
Exons: 2
Source: RefSeq, a predicted model, not a curated record
GUAUCGAGCAUCGAAGGGGCAAGGGAAAUUAUAUCAUCUCAAUUUCAAGACUACUGAUUAGAUGGAAUGGUUGGUAUACUGGGAGUGACACUGACCAUUGCCGUGUUUGUGCGUGCAUAUUAAUGUUUUCGAUUUUUGAAGUUUGGUCAUCGCUGAAAGAGAUUACAGUUAAAAAGAUUUUGGAGUUGAUCUGUGAUCUAAUUCGUGCUGGUUAUUCUGAAUAUUCAUGCAAGAACAUGUUUCCUAGAAAAGUUUUGGUUUGAUCUUCUGGCUAUGUUUUCGUAGAAGUGGUUUCUUAAUAUAUGUAAAAAGAUAAUCAUUCACUUCAUGAAAGAGUAAAACACAGUGAAAAUAUAAACACUAAGAGCAGAAGAGACCAAGACCACAAGCGUCAACACGGUAUGAAUCGCCAAUGAGGAGGUACCACAAGAGAGCAGCCCGAGACGGAGCUGAAUAACUUCAACCAUUGACAACAGAAGGAACACACAGCCCAAGAUGGACCACCACCGGCUGCACCAACCACACCGAGACGAAGAAGAUCACUGUUGAUAUUUGCUUUACUAACCUCGUCCGUUUCUUUGCUGUUCAACAAGUUGAUGGUUAGCUUCAGCCCUUGAGUCACGAGGGAGGAGAAGAGGAAGAAUGCAAAUGAGAUCACUUCGAACACAACGAGUAGACUCCGCAUGAUUUAUUUGAUCUCUGUUUUUUUUUAUUGUUGUUCAAUACCUGUAGUAACAUCAUAUCUGGGAUAUGCAUAUAUGAGUAAAUCCCUUAAUUAUCCUUCAAGAACCUCG